GGUUCAUUCAAAUUUCUGCCCUAUCAACUUUCGAUGGUAGGAUAGUGGCCUACCAUGGUAUCAACGGGUAACGGGGAAUUAGGGUUCGAUUCCGGAGAGGGAGCCUGAGAAACGGCUACCACAUCCAAGGAAGGCAGCAGGCGCGCAAAUUACCCAAUCCCGACCGGGGAGGUAGUGACAAUAAAUACUGAUACAGGGCUCUUUUGGGUCUUGUAAUUGGAAUGAGUACAAUUUAAAUCCCUUAACGAGGAACAAUUGGAGGGCAAGUCUGGUGCCAGCAGCCGCGGAAAUUCCAGCUCCAAUAGCGUAUAUUAAAGUUGUUGCAGUUAAAAAGCUCGUAGUUG
This 344-nucleotide ribosomal RNA is filed under the name uncultured fungus. RNAcentral describes it as "SSU rRNA". It matches the Rfam family "Eukaryotic small subunit ribosomal RNA", at positions 292 to 636 of the family's 1831-position model. Lineage: Eukaryota; Fungi. The record is from RNAcentral.